AGUGAACGCUGGCGGCAGGCCUAACACAUGCAAGUCGAACGGCAGCACAGUAAGUGCUUGCUCUUACCGGUGGCCAGACGCGUACGGGAGACGUAUACAUCGGACCCUACUUUUUGGUGGGGCAUAACGUAGCGAAACUUACGCCAAUACCGCAUACGACCUACGGGUGAAAGCAGUGGAUCUUUGGACCUUGCGGGAUUGAAUGAGCCGAUGUCGGAUUAGCUAGUUGGCGGGGUAAAGGCCCACCAAGGCGACGAUCCGUAGCUGGUCUGAGAGGAGGAUCAGCGACACUGGAACUGAGACACGGUCCAGACUCCUACGGGAGGCAGCAGUGGGGAAUAUUGGACAAUGGGCGCAAGCCUGAUCCAGCCAUGCCGCGUGUGUGAAGAAGGCCUUCGGGUUGUAAAGCCCUUUUGUUGGGAAAGAAAAGCUUCAGGUUAAUACCCCGCGGUUCUGACGGUACCCGAAGAAUAAGCACCGGCUAACUACGUG
This 492-nucleotide ribosomal RNA is filed under the name uncultured bacterium. Its description in RNAcentral is "partial 16S ribosomal RNA". It matches the Rfam family "Bacterial small subunit ribosomal RNA", at positions 29 to 507 of the family's 1533-position model. The record is from RNAcentral.